GCUGACUUCUGGCAUGACCAAGGUAAAAUCUAAAAUUUUUGCAUUCAAAGCUUUUGCUGUGUUUCUUAUCACUGAAAUAUCCUUGAAAGAUUUGAAGCAGCAUAUUUGCCUGUUUUUUAGUAUGAUAACUUAGGUUGGACAAUCGUUCUGCAUGGUCAAGGAAUUAAAUGUUGAUUAUUCUGCAUCUCUCCCUUGAACAUGGUGCUUCUUUCUGUGUGUGUGUGAGGCAAACAUGUACAUGCACACAUGUUUAAAUUGAUAAGAAAAAUAAUUGAAUACUAAAAAAUAUUAAGUAAAAACCUUUUUAUUCUUGAAUCAAUUUUGAACUUUGCAUUUUAAGGGCAGUUGGAAACCUCCAACAUGUGUGAUGUUUAGUUCCUUCUCACAAAAGAAUCUGUAUAUUCAGAGUAAUAUUUGGCAGUUUUAUCAACACUAUGCAGGCAGACACUCCAAUUCUUGGCCUUGUAGAGAUGGGUGAAGGUCGUAUUGCAGUUUAUGGAGACUCCAAUUGUUUGGAUAGCAGCCAUAUGGUUACUAAUUGUUACUGGCUUUUGAAGAAAAUAUUGGACUUCAGCAGUGCGAACACUAGAGAUCCAUUGCUCUUUUC
RNAcentral lists this unclassified non-coding RNA (607 nucleotides) under Hevea brasiliensis (rubber tree). Lineage: Eukaryota; Viridiplantae; Streptophyta; Magnoliopsida; Malpighiales; Euphorbiaceae. The record is from RNAcentral.